GCCCGAUAGCCUUAUAAAGGUUUUGGUUCGGUCCAGGCUGUGCAGGUUCUCUAUGGACUAGUAUCUCCAUCGACGUUGCCACAUAGUAUCCCGAUUUGGCUGAGUAUGCUCCUGACCUUGCCGCCAGCCAAAUGAAGGAGUCUGGCGAACCAAUGAUGCUCGGUUUGAUGCGCAGAAUGUCAGGUAGGUAUUAUGGGAGUACCUCCAUGAUUCUUUGAACAUUCCAGUCAGAGGUACCUCGGCAAAGGAAGUCUGCCACCACAAGAUCUUGAUGCUCCU
Molecule: long non-coding RNA, 279 nt
Filed under: Brassica napus (rape)
Lineage: Eukaryota; Viridiplantae; Streptophyta; Magnoliopsida; Brassicales; Brassicaceae
Description: long non-coding RNA (BNAP_LNC011206)
Source: RNAcentral